AGUUCUGACCUCUGCGAGAGACAGGGAACCUGGCAGGGGCCACCAGGCCCGGUGGGCGGAGAAUAGGAUGGGGUAGCAAGGAGCCUGCUGGGAGCCUCUCCUGAGGCCCCUGAGGCCAGGUCUGCCCCCUCAGUACAUGGCAGGCCUUUGGUGAGAACUUGCAUGUGCUUCUUCUCCUGCCUAAAAUAUGGGCCACGAAGUGAGGUGCACUCUGCCAAAGAUACACUUGGCUGGGGAAACCCCGUUUGGGGCGAAGUUGCAGGGAGAAUGGAAGGCCGACACUGAGAACCAGGGCUUUGCCCUUCAGCCCCCACCCCCUCAUCUGUUCCCACUCAGUAGGGGAAAAAAAUCUUUAAUGAGUCCACAACAAUAAAAAUAAAAAUAGUUCUUCUCAAAGGAAGUAACCCUCUUUCUCCCAUCACUUUGGGACACACUAAACUAAAUAGUAACCAGAUUGCUUGGUUGUCUGAGACCCUCUGCUAAACCUGAUGCCUCAGUAGCCACGGGAAGGAUGUGGACUUCUUCAGAUGUUUAAGGACCUUGGAGAUUUAAACUGUGAGUCAGAAAAGAGUCAACUGUAAGUUCAAGUUCAAGGCAUUACCUGUUCCUGUGCUUUAGGGAAGGGACGAAGAGCUUGGGGGAGGGGGGAACAGGUGCCUCUCCCAGCCAAGGAGAUAAAUUAACCCCCGCAUCCAUAGUGAUAGAAGGAGGUCUCUUGAUAUUUUAUUGAAGCCUCAGUGUCUCCUCUAGAGGGUGUCUUGAAAUGUGAUAAGUUGGCCAUGAUCUGCCAAUAGACCAUUUCUUAAGAACAAAUUCUAGGAGAUCUCCUGGGUUUUACCAAGAAAGACAGAUGUGCCUCCAGGGUAUUUCCCACUUGGACACAGAAAGCCCUCAAAUGGGGACCUGGCCUCCAACCCUGUGAAGGGCUUGAUAGCCAUUUUCAUCCUGGGUCCUCCAGCUGGCUCUUGCACCUGUGUGC
RNAcentral lists this long non-coding RNA (979 nucleotides) under Bos grunniens (domestic yak). Its description in RNAcentral is "lncRNA (ENSBGRG00000002086.1)". The record is from RNAcentral. Lineage: Eukaryota; Metazoa; Chordata; Mammalia; Artiodactyla; Bovidae.